UACAGAGGGUGCAAGCGUUUAAUCGGAGUUACUGGGCGUAAAGGGCGCGUAGGCGGUCAUGCAAGUGAGAUGUGAAAUCCCCGGGCUUAACCUGGGAACUGCAUUUUAGACUGUGUGACUGGAGUACUGUAGAGGAUAGUGGAAUUUCCGGUGUAGCGGUGAAAUGCGUAGAGAUCGGAAGGAACACCAGUGGCGAAGGCGACUGUCUGGACAAUACUGACGCUGAGGCGCGAAAGCGUGGGGAGCAAACAGG
RNAcentral lists this ribosomal RNA (253 nucleotides) under uncultured bacterium. Its description in RNAcentral is "partial 16S ribosomal RNA". It matches the Rfam family "Bacterial small subunit ribosomal RNA", at positions 524 to 776 of the family's 1533-position model. The record is from RNAcentral.